This 66-nucleotide small RNA is filed under the name Roseomonas mucosa. Its description in RNAcentral is "int-alpA RNA". It matches the Rfam family "int-alpA RNA". From Rfam's summary of the family: Acidobacteria (1 example), Planctomycetes (1 example), Proteobacteria. Environment (Lake Washington) The record is from Rfam by way of RNAcentral. Lineage: Bacteria; Pseudomonadati; Pseudomonadota; Alphaproteobacteria; Acetobacterales; Roseomonadaceae.
GGCGGGGAUAGGAUGGCCCCCGAAAACCAGAUCUCCGCGCUGGCUGCCCCGCCUUUACCUUGCGGA